AAAAUAUGUGUUCGGGGUGUUGUGUGUGGCUUGUAAUAUGUGUUCAGUACGUCAUGGAAACAUAUGUGCAUCGCGUGUCAUGUCAAAAUACUGUCUGCUGCAUACGCAUCAAAAGGGUUUAUGAUAAAAGAGACGCAAACGUCUCGCAAGACACUAACUUACCACUAAACUCUGAUUUCACAGGAGAUUAAGCGAGCAUCUCGCAAAUGCGAGCAUCUCUUUUAUCAUAAACCCUUACGAAGCGUCUGUAGUAUUUUGACAUGACACGCAAUGCACAAAAGGUUCACAUGACGCGCCAAAAACAUAUUUUGACAUGACACGCAAUGCACAAAAGGUUCACAUGACGCGCCAAACACAUAUUUUGACAUGACACGCAAUGCACAAAGGUUCACAUGACGCGCCAAAAACAUAUUUUGACAUGACACGCAAUGCACAAAAGGUUCACAUGACGCGCCAAACACAUAUUUUGACAUGACACGCAAUGCACAAAAGGUUCACAUGACGCGCCAAACACAUAUUUUGACAUGACACGCAAUGCACAAAAGGUUCACAUGACGCGCCAAACACAUAUUUUGACAUGAUGAUCCGCACACAAGACAAUGUUUUGACGAGUUUCACGUUCGUGCCUCCUCGGAAAAGAAGUCCCGAGCCGCCACUGUGAAUGAUAUGAGUAUUGAUUAUUUGUUUAUAACUUUACAGAUGCUCAUAGUCAAUGGUAUGCUCACACAACAGCAAAAUACAAUUUUCAGUCCUGUUCAGAGUGCUGAUUGUAGUACAGUUUUGUUUAUACACAGUUUGGUUGUGAAAGAAAUUGACAACGUCUUAUUCAAAUAGUUCAGAAUAAAUACGAAGUCUUACCUUGUAAUGCAGACAUUAUAUGCGAUCAUGCCCGUGAAAACCUAGCUAAAGUCAUUUUUUGUGAUUUUGUUUUCUACAUAAAGUCAAACUAUAUAAUGUAAAGAAUUUUCUGUGAAAAUAUAACCUUUAUAUCUUUAAUAUUGACUGAUGAGUAAGGUCAGAGGUCAAAGAUUGAAAUCAGUGUAAAAUGUGGUCAAAAUUUGAUGCUCCUAAUCUCAUUAACCUGGAUUUCACAUUAUUUAAGAGUCACACCUAUUAGCAAACAUGCUAUCAAUCUCAAAAUCGAACUAUUUUUGUCUCUAAGCACUACACUGUAAUGGACUCAGGGGUUAAAUCACAUAAUUAUAGUCUAUUAACAAAAAGAUCCCAUGUGAUGUUAUUUUCUGUUCAUUCAUCUACGGUAGGCUGGUUUCAAACAAUCAUUGUAAUUAUUUAAAUUCAGUAGUUUCCCCUAAAGAAUAUUUACUGAACAGGACAAAACCAUCAUUACAAACUGUGUAUAAAGAGGUAAAAAGGUACAAAUAAUAUAUUAAAAAUUAUUUUGCACAGUGCUUAUUUUUGUACCAAAACAAUAACACAUUUUUUAAAUAGUCUUUAAGACAUUUUAACUGGAUUUCAUUGUUUAUUAGAAACUUUUUAUACAGUAACUAUCAUUUGCCAAACAACCAUUUUAUGUAUUUGAACUAAUUCCCUAUUUUUUCUGCACAGUGCCCUCCAUAAGUACCACAGUAAAGGCAAAUGCUCUGUUUGACAUUUGUAAGUUGAAUAUGAAGCAAAAGUACAGAAUGUAACAUUUUAUUAACAUUUUAUAUUUCACAAACAUGCCUUUCCAACAAAGAACAACAACCUUGCAUCCUGACUUAUGGAGGGCGCUGUAUGUUCAUGCUUAAACGUGCAAAUAUUUCUUACUCUGUAUUAUAUAACAAUGCAAAUGAAGAAUAACAUCCAGUUAAUGUGCUUUCUGUAAUACAAAUGACAUUAAAUGUAAUGUUCAAUUACAGUAAAUAGGAUUUAUUGUUUGCACUGUUUAUAUUGUUCAUCUGUUGCUAUCUCAAUAAAUACAAAACUAAUGCAAACAUACAGUAACAUUACUGAGCAAAUGAACUUCA
Non-coding RNA from Misgurnus anguillicaudatus (oriental weatherfish), 1967 nucleotides. Lineage: Eukaryota; Metazoa; Chordata; Actinopteri; Cypriniformes; Cobitidae. The record is from RefSeq and is a predicted model, not a curated record.